UUGAGACAGGGUCUCACUCUGUUGCCGAAGCUGGUGUGCAGUGGUGUGAUCACGGCUCACAGCAGCCUCCAUCUCCUAGGCCUAAGUGAUCCUCCUCCAGCCUGGUGAGGAACUGGGACCUGCACCAUGUCCAGUUCGUCCGCUUUGGGAUUUGGACUGACUUCUUGCUGCUCAGUUUGCUGACCAUCUAUUGUGGGACUUCACCUUGUCAUCCUGUAUACUUAAGAAGAGCAGAGAUGGCCCUGCUGGGUGGCUCAUGCCUGUAAUUUCAGCACUUUAGAAGGCAGAGGCAGGUGGAAGAAGGUCAAGUGAUCGAGACCAUCCUGGCCAACAUGGUUUGGGCGGUUCUACUCAUAAUCUUGGAGAAUGACAGGAUCAAGAUAAAGAACAGGGUCUCACAGAGGACAGCACAGCAGUUCAAACAAAGCCAAGACAGGCAGGAGGAGGCCAGAGGACACUUACUGGCAAUAACGUGGCAUUCGGACCCCAACGACUCCAGCCAGCACGGAGCCCGAGUGAAUUCCUAUCCUCAUCUGAAGAAAAAUGAAGAAAAAAAAGAACGCAUUUGUUUUCAUUUGGUAUGCAAUUAUUUCAAUAAAAGCCACUGCUAAUUAUUAAAAAAAUUAAACUAUGAGCUCCUC
Callithrix jacchus (white-tufted-ear marmoset) is the source of this 641-nucleotide non-coding RNA. The record is from RefSeq and is a predicted model, not a curated record. Lineage: Eukaryota; Metazoa; Chordata; Mammalia; Primates; Cebidae.